GCCCUCGACUGUUAGAGAUUGAUUACCUCCCCGUCCCUUUUUUUUUUGCCCCGCCCUUUGUUUUUUGACGGUCUUUGUUGCUUUUACCGCGUUAAUCGAAUCGGCUUGAACCGGGCAAAAGUCGUAACAAGGUUUCCGUAAGUGAACCUGCGGAAGGAUCAUUA
RNAcentral lists this ribosomal RNA (164 nucleotides) under Steinernema sp. SGjk. Its description in RNAcentral is "partial 18S ribosomal RNA". Lineage: Eukaryota; Metazoa; Nematoda; Chromadorea; Rhabditida; Steinernematidae. The record is from RNAcentral.